Molecule: ribosomal RNA, 429 nt
Filed under: Pseudomonadota bacterium
Lineage: Bacteria; Pseudomonadati; Pseudomonadota
Description: Proteobacteria bacterium partial 16S ribosomal RNA
Rfam family: Bacterial small subunit ribosomal RNA
Source: RNAcentral
UGGGGAAUAUUGGACAAUGGGCGAAAGCCUGAUCCAGCCAUGCCGCGUGUGUGAAGAAGGUCUUCGGAUUGUAAAGCACUUUAAGUUGGGAGGAAGGGCAGUAAGCGAAUACCUUGCUGUUUUGACGUUACCGACAGAAUAAGCACCGGCUAACUCUGUGCCAGCAGCCGCGGUAAUACAGAGGGUGCAAGCGUUAAUCGGAAUUACUGGGCGUAAAGCGCGCGUAGGUGGUUCGUUAAGUUGAAUGUGAAAGCCCCGGGCUCAACCUGGGAACUGCAACCAAAACUGGCGAGCUAGAGUAGGGCAGAGGGUGGUGGGAUUUCCUGUGUAGCGGUGAAAUGCGUAGAUAUAGGAAGGAACACCAGUGGCGAAGGCGACCACCUGGGCUCAUACUGACACUGAGGUGCGAAAGCGUGGGGAGCAAACAGG